This 253-nucleotide unclassified non-coding RNA is filed under the name uncultured Flavobacteriaceae bacterium. RNAcentral describes it as "contains 16S-23S intergenic spacer region". It matches the Rfam family "Bacterial small subunit ribosomal RNA", at positions 524 to 776 of the family's 1533-position model. The record is from RNAcentral. Lineage: Bacteria; Pseudomonadati; Bacteroidota; Flavobacteriia; Flavobacteriales; Flavobacteriaceae.
UACGAACUGCACAAACGUUAUCCGGAAUCAUUGGGUUUAAAGGGUCCGUAGGUGGACAAUUAAGUCAGAGGUGAAAUCCUGCAGCUCAACUGUAGAAUUGCCUUUGAUACUGGUUGUCUUGAAUCAAUGUGAAGUGGUUAGAAUAUGUAGUGUAGCGGUGAAAUGCAUAGAUAUUACAUAGAAUACCAAUUGCGAAGGCAGAUCACUAACAUUGCAUUGACACUGAUGGACGAAAGCGUGGGGAGCGAACAGG